GAUGAAGAACGUAGCGAAAUGCGAUAAGUAGUGUGAAUUGCAGAAUUCAGUGAAUCAUCGAAUCUUUGAACGCACAUUGCGCCCGCCAGUAUUCUGGCGGGCAUGCCUGUUCGAGCGUCAUUUCAACCAUCAAGCCCCCGGCUUGUGUUGGGGACCUGCGGCUGCCGCAGGCCCUGAAAAGCAGUGGCGGGCUCGCUGUCACACCGAGCGUAGUAGCAUACAUCUCGCUCCGGGCGUGCUGCGGGUUCCGGCCGUUAAACCACCUUCAUAACCCAAGGUUGACCUCGGAUCAGGUAGGAAGACCCGCUGAACUUAAGCAUAUCAAUAAGCGGAGGA
This 336-nucleotide unclassified non-coding RNA is filed under the name soil metagenome. RNAcentral describes it as "partial contains 5.8S ribosomal RNA, internal transcribed spacer 2, and large subunit ribosomal RNA". The stretch from base 1 to 120 matches the Rfam family "5.8S ribosomal RNA", at positions 35 to 154 of the family's 154-position model. The record is from RNAcentral.